This 87-nucleotide microRNA precursor is filed under the name Otolemur garnettii (small-eared galago). RNAcentral describes it as "miRNA (ENSOGAG00000032374.1)". The record is from RNAcentral. Lineage: Eukaryota; Metazoa; Chordata; Mammalia; Primates; Galagidae.
AAAUUUAGGAAGGGACUCACACACAGGUUUGUGCAAGUACAAGGUUGGCAUUUGCAUGACCUUGAGAGUGAAUGCCUCCUUUAAUUU